Molecule: small RNA, 564 nt
Filed under: Pongo abelii (Sumatran orangutan)
Lineage: Eukaryota; Metazoa; Chordata; Mammalia; Primates; Hominidae
Description: processed transcript
Source: RNAcentral
AUAUAAAGAGAUCCUGUUGCUGCAUGCAGACAUAAAAUUGAGUCUGUGGCAUUUGCUGUAUUUUUCAUCUACAUCCCAAAUCAGACAUCUUAAGGCACUAAUAAUUUGCAAAGUUAAACCUCCUCCACAAAUUUCACCCAGCAAAUCGAUGGGCGGAGAAUUUUGUGUGGCUGCUACCUUCGGAACAUCCAGGUCAUGGUUUGCAAAUAAUGCAGGUCUGAAAAGAGAAAAAGAUCAGUCCAAACAAGUUGUAGUUGAGUCCCUGUACAUUAUCAGUUGCUAUGGCACCUUAGUGGAGCACAUGAUGGAGCCACGACCCCUCAGCACUGCACCCAAGAUUAGUGACGACACGCCGCUGGAAAUGAUGACAUCGCCUCGAGCCACCUGGACUCUGAACCCCUCAAUGGAAUGAAUUGCAGCCACCAUUUAAUGCAAACCACCCUCUGCUCCUCGCUGCAGAUGCAGUACAGUAUUAUCAGUUCCUGCUUGCUGGCCUGGUUCCCCCUGGAAGUCCUGGGCCCAUUACUCGACAUGGGUCUUAUGACAGUUUAGCUUCUGACCAUA